GAUGAACGCUGGCGGCGUGCCUAAUACAUGCAAGUCGAGCGAACAGACGAGGAGCUUGCUCCUCUGACGUUAGCGGCGGACGGGUGAGUAACACGUGGAUAACCUACCUAUAAGACUGGGAUAACUUCGGGAAACCGGAGCUAAUACCGGAUAAUAUAUUGAACCGCAUGGUUCAAUAGUGAAAGACGGUUUUGCUGUCACUUAUAGAUGGAUCCGCGCCGCAUUAGCUAGUUGGUAAGGUAACGGCUUACCAAGGCAACGAUGCGUAGCCGACCUGAGAGGGUGAUCGGCCAAACGGGAACUGAGACACGGUACAGACGCCUACGGGAGGCAGCAGUAGGGAAUCUUCCGCAAAGGGCGAAAGCAUGACGGAGCAACGCCGCGUGAGUGAUGAAGGUCUUCGGAUCGUAAAACUCUGUUAUUAGGGAAGAAAAAAUGUGUAAGUAACUAUGCACGUCUUGACGGUACCUAAUCAGAAAGCCACGGCUAACUACGUG
RNAcentral lists this ribosomal RNA (497 nucleotides) under uncultured bacterium. Its description in RNAcentral is "partial 16S ribosomal RNA". It matches the Rfam family "Bacterial small subunit ribosomal RNA", at positions 28 to 507 of the family's 1533-position model. The record is from RNAcentral.